CCUACGGGUGGUAGCAGUGGGGAAUAUUGCGCAAUGGGCGAAAGCCUGACGCAGCAACGCCGCGUGAGGGAUGAAGGUCUUCGGAUCGUAAACCUCUGUCAGCAGGGAAGAACGGUCACUGUGCUAAUCAGCAGUGAGUUGACGGUACCUGCAAGGGAAGCACCGGCUAACUCCGUGCCAGCAGCCGCGGUAAUACGGAGGGUGCGAGCGUUAAUCGGAAUUACUGGGCGUAAAGCUAUCGUAGGCGGUAUGUAAAGUCAAGGGUGAAAUCCCCGCGCUCAACGUGGGAACUGCCUUUGAAACCUGCAAACUGGAGGGUGUGAGAGGAUAGUGGAAUUUCAGGGGGAGGAG
RNAcentral lists this ribosomal RNA (351 nucleotides) under uncultured bacterium. Its description in RNAcentral is "partial 16S ribosomal RNA". It matches the Rfam family "Bacterial small subunit ribosomal RNA", at positions 338 to 681 of the family's 1533-position model. The record is from RNAcentral.